RNAcentral lists this long non-coding RNA (1004 nucleotides) under Pan troglodytes (chimpanzee). RNAcentral describes it as "long non-coding RNA NONPTRT002969". Lineage: Eukaryota; Metazoa; Chordata; Mammalia; Primates; Hominidae. The record is from RNAcentral.
UUUUUAUCCAAAAUGUGUUUAUUGAGAUGGUUUCCCACUCAUCUUGACUCAGAGUGCUUUUAGUGCUGCUUCCUCCUGAAGGAACAUCCUUCUGUAAGCCUUGCUUUUCCUCCUGUAGGCUGGCAGAGGACAGUGGAGCAGCCAACACACAAAACUACCGUUUGUGCAUGGCUAAAGACCGUGGUGAUUUUAUAGCAUCCUGGGCAUUUCACAUCCAUGAAGUAGGAAUUGGGGCUCUCCACCAGGCGUUUCUUCUUGUGUUUCCUCUUCUCCUCUUCUGGAGAGGGAUGAAGGAGAUCCUUUGCGAGAGGCAUGUUCUCGGGUGCGUAGGUCGUCACCGCCGGAAAGGCUACUAGACAGAAGUGGCAUGCCUUGUCUCAGAUGGGACUUUGAACUUGGACUUUUGGUUUAAUGCUGGAAUGAGUUAAGACUUUGAGGUACUGUUGGGAAGGCAUGAUUAUGUUUUGAAAUGAGAGAAAAAGACUUGGGAGGGGCCAGGGGCGGAAUGAUAUGGAGGCUUUGUGUUCCCACCCAAAUCUCAUCUUGAAUUGUAAUCCCCAUAAUCCCCAUGUGUCAAGGGAGGGACCUGGUGGGAGGUGAGUGGAUCAUAGGGGUGGUUCCCCCGAUGCUGUUCUUGUGAUAGUGAAUGAGUUCUCACAAGAUCUGAUGGUUCUAUAAGCAUCUGGCAUUUCCCCUGCUCACCCUUCUCUCUCUUAUUGCCAUGUGGAGAAGGUCCUUGUUUUUUCUUCACCUUCCACCAUGAUUGUAAGUCUCCUGAAGACUCGCCAGCCAUGUAGAACUGUGAGUCAAUUAACCUCUUUUCUUUAUAAAUUACUUAGUCUCAGGUAGUAUCUUUAUAGCACUGUGAGAAUGGAUGAAUACACGAAGAUCCCCCUUCUAGACACCAGAAUGUAUAAUCUUGGUGUCAACUGUUUAUCUCAUCAUAGCUAUAGAUGAACCCAUCUUUGGCUACUGAAUCUCCCCUGUAUUGCUGAACCUCCCUC